This 269-nucleotide small nuclear RNA is filed under the name Octodon degus (degu). RNAcentral's name for it is "7SK RNA (ENSODEG00000022600.1)". It matches the Rfam family "7SK RNA", at positions 1 to 261 of the family's 331-position model. Rfam says of the family: 7SK was discovered as an abundant small nuclear RNA in the mid-70s but a possible function has only recently been suggested. Lineage: Eukaryota; Metazoa; Chordata; Mammalia; Rodentia; Octodontidae. The record is from RNAcentral.
GGGUGUGAGAGCACCCUGGCUGUUGCAGCCCUUCACCUCAGUGACAGCCGGCUGACCAGCUGGCUAGGCGGGUGUCCCCAUCCUCCCGCAAGGCUCCACAUGCAUCCCUCCUGAAGCUGUGCGCUCAGCUGAAGAGGACGACCCUGGUAGAGAAGGACCAUCCUCAGGGAUGCAAGGGGCUGUGCUCCCCUGCUAGAACCUCCGCACAAUCUCCUAAGAGACAGUUCAGCGGCAUAAACGCCUUGGCAAGCACAAGGUCCUAAGAUGAU